UUUGUACACAGGCUGUUUCUAAUGAGAGUCAUUGACAUUCCCUAUCUGAAUCUGAGUGGGCCAGAUUUACAGCCAAAGAGGGACCAUGUUCUUCAUGUGCGUUUUCCAAAGGAGUGGAAGACCAGUGACCUAUACCAGCUUUUCAGUGCCUUUGGUAAUAUCCAGGUGUCUUGGAUAGAUGAUACUUCAGCAUUUGUAGCAUUAAGCCAACGUGAACAGGUACAAAUUGGUGAGUGAUCUUUCUUUUUUUUUUUUAACAGAA
This is a long non-coding RNA of Rhincodon typus (whale shark), 262 nucleotides long. RefSeq lists it as uncharacterized. The record is from RefSeq and is a predicted model, not a curated record. Lineage: Eukaryota; Metazoa; Chordata; Chondrichthyes; Orectolobiformes; Rhincodontidae. The transcript has 3 exons.